Molecule: long non-coding RNA, 942 nt
Filed under: Gallus gallus (chicken)
Lineage: Eukaryota; Metazoa; Chordata; Aves; Galliformes; Phasianidae
Description: lncRNA (ENSGALG00000047048.2)
Source: RNAcentral
GACACAGUGUUACAGACUGACUGCAAUCUCUUUUCCUGUUUUCAGACGGGACAGAGUUGAUUUUCUUCAUAGUGUCUGACUUUUUUUAGGAAGGUGGUCUAACUAUAAAGAACAACAAACAAGAUGUUCUACCAUCAUAUGGAAAAAAAAAAAGAGAGAGAGAGAGAGAAGAGUAGGUAAUUUGGAAUUGCAGAAAUAGAACACUGAAGUUAUCAGCUCACUACAAUAUUCAUCAAUAAUUACUCAAUAAUUACUUUUUCAUCUCAACAAUAUGCUCUUGUAUCCUAACCAAAAAAAAAAAGAUUGUGAAAAUCACUCUGGAGAGAUUCUCAUGAUGAUUGAACAGGAAAAAUUAACAACGUUUUUUGCUGUGUGUCAUUUGAAGCAUCCAAAACAGCUCUCACUCAUCAGUAGGCUAUCUAUGGAACAGGCCAGAUCAGCUGCUGCAUGGGGCCUGGCUGAAAAGGAGUUAAUUCUCUUCAUGGCAGACCCUAGGGUGCUGUGUUUUGGAUUUAUGACCAAAGCGGUGUUGCUAACACAUCAGUGUUUCAGCCACAGUUGAGCAGUGCUUACGCAUUGUUAAGGUCUCUCUGUUUCUCUCCCCACCCUGCCAGGGCAGCAAGUAGACUGGAGGUGCACAAAAGGUUUGGAGGGGAAAGAGCAAGUACAGCUAAUCCAGACUGACCAAAGGCAUAUUUCAAACGAUAUGGCUAUGACAUCAUGCUCAACAAUAAAAGCUGGAGUAAGAGUAAAGAAGGAGGAAGGUGGAGGGAACUUUUCAAGAAACAAGAAGCUGUUGCAUAUGAUGGAACCCUCCUAACCUGCAAAUGGCUGAAAAUCUACCUAUCAGAAUAUAUACUGAAUAUAUACGUAAAUACUGAAUUAAUUAUUUUUCUUUGCCAGCAUGAGCAGCUUUAAUUUUUACCUAUUAAACUUUCUAUC